GGAGAUCGAGCUCCAUGGGAGCCAAAACCCUAACAAGACUAAAUCACCAAAUUGAAGGGUUUAUUAUGGCUCAAAUUCAAGAAAGAACAUGGAUUAAUGAUCACCUAAGUAUUUCCUACAUCAAUGAGGUGUAGAUGAUAAGCAUCAUGUCAAGAGGACGCAAGCACAAAUGGCAAUCGGGUCAAGAGGAGACAAGGAAACGGUCACGAAUACGGACGCUUAAGGUAGUACGAAUCACAGAUUUUUCAUUCCAAG
Long non-coding RNA from Helianthus annuus (common sunflower), 255 nucleotides. RefSeq lists it as uncharacterized. Lineage: Eukaryota; Viridiplantae; Streptophyta; Magnoliopsida; Asterales; Asteraceae. The transcript has 3 exons. The record is from RefSeq and is a predicted model, not a curated record.